This 230-nucleotide long non-coding RNA is filed under the name Zostera marina. RNAcentral describes it as "long non-coding RNA (ZMAR_LNC000227)". The record is from RNAcentral. Lineage: Eukaryota; Viridiplantae; Streptophyta; Magnoliopsida; Alismatales; Zosteraceae.
GCCUACUGAUGUUUUGAUCCAGGACAUGACGACGUGAUUCCUCUUCCUUCACUUUAUAUAUUCUAGAUUUGGAGUACCCUCUGCAGUCGUCUCCGCCGAAAUUGCCUCCGAUAUCCGUCAGAUCGAUAUCAUAGAUGUCCAAGAGAUUUUCAAAUUGUGACUUCCAGAAAAGAUAGGUAUCACUGAGCUUCAGAAGUUGCCUGAUACAUUUGGCAACACCCAAGAUGUUA